CAAGUAUGAAAGACGGUUGCGAGUCUAUAAGACUCGAGGAAAGUCCGAGCUCCAUAGGGCAGGAUGCCAGAUAACGUCUGGCGAGGGUAACCUUAGGGAAAGUGCCAUAGAAAAGGAAACCGCCACGUAAGUGGUAAGGGUGGAAAGGUGAGGUAAGAGCUCACCAGCAGUCUGGUAACAGGCUGGCUCGGUAAACCCCAUCCGGAGCAAGACCGAAUAGGGAAGGGUUAAGGGUGGUCCCGCCUACCUUCCGGGUUGUGUCGCUCGAGCG
RNAcentral lists this RNase P RNA (271 nucleotides) under Veillonella sp. Its description in RNAcentral is "partial RNase P RNA component class A". It matches the Rfam family "Bacterial RNase P class A", at positions 1 to 286 of the family's 367-position model. Rfam says of the family: Ribonuclease P (RNase P) is a ubiquitous endoribonuclease, found in archaea, bacteria and eukarya as well as chloroplasts and mitochondria. Lineage: Bacteria; Bacillati; Bacillota; Negativicutes; Veillonellales; Veillonellaceae. The record is from RNAcentral.